RNA transcript from Sapajus apella (tufted capuchin), 3614 nucleotides. RefSeq lists it as uncharacterized. The transcript has 3 exons. The record is from RefSeq and is a predicted model, not a curated record. NCBI's taxonomy places the organism in Eukaryota, Metazoa, Chordata, Mammalia, Primates, Cebidae.
CCUAGGUCAACACUUUCUUGUACAGAAAAGUCAUGUGUUAUCAGAGGAGAAAAUGCAGAUAUAAUAUUGGGAUGACUCUUGUAAGUGAUGCAAGAUAAUUUGAUGACAAGAAUUGAGAUUAUAUGCUGAGAUCUGACUGUCUUACACUUUGUUAAUUUCUGAAAAGAAUAGAAAUGCAAUCCUAGCUAAAGGAAGAGACGUAGUCUGGCUUACCAGUGGCCAGCAAGCUCUGUAAAGAAACGUUGCCUUUUUGCAGCCAUCUCACCUAAUAUGAGACUCCAGGUAGAAGAGAGCUCCCAAGAAGUCAAAGCACAAACCAAGAUCAUGUAAAUUACUCUCAAGUGAACAACUAGGCAAGGGAUAACCAACCCUGUCCCAACUGUCUCACACCCCCACUGGCCCCCUGCGCUCAUGGAUGCCACGUUCUUCAACGUUUGCACUUCUGUUAACAGGCUUGAAGGAGAGCAAAGAUAGGCUCCUUUACCAAGAGCCCAUUGACCGAAUACAGACACGACGCUAAUACCAAUACGUGUAAAACAAGAUCCUGAGAUGCUGUCAAGUUUUUCUCCCUCAGUUGUGACCAAGUGUAUGUGCUCUCUUGCCUUUGGGUUGCUCAUGUUUUUGGGUCACAGGAUCAAAAGCAGAAGUGUCCAGGCCACUAGGAGACACGGCAAACCAUUAUCUGUGAAAGACUGGGUUUUCUGAAAGAAAACAGUCUGGACGCUGCCAGUGGAGGGAAGAGUCAUGGUAUGAAGUUUUCCAUGAUAAGAGAGAAGAGCAGCCAGGCAGUGGGCAUGCAGGGGGCGUGCUUGUUGUUGAUGGUGUUGUGGUUGUUGUACCCCAAGGCCCGGGGACAAGAUGGCCCCAUGUACACAAAGGUCAUGAAAAUGCAAGGACCCUGGAUAUUGAGUGUCAUGUCCUUGGGAACAGUGAUAACAUGUCCCUGUGUCCAAACUGAGCUCAGUCAGCUUAUCUAAAACAGACAGGGAGUACCUCCGUGGGAACAGUUGGAGCCGAAGAACAGGGAACUUUCCCUUUGAUGUCUGGACUCUACAGAUACUUCGGGAAUUGUGUUCAAGUCCAGGAGGAAUGGCUGAAUACAUGAUUGAGAUAAAUUUGCAGCCAGGAGGUUGAAGAGAAAUUAGGAUCCGAUUUUACUCAGUUGGGAGGAAUCAUGGCCCAGCAUCGAUCUUCUGGGCCUUCAUAGAUCUUCAUAGAUCUUUCUUCUGAAGUUAUUUGGAAUUUGACCAUAAGAUGAAUUUUCCCAAAGAAGAAAGGAGGUGGAAGCUGAUGCGAAGGCCCCAUUUCCACGUGUGAAUUUCUAAGAAACCACAGCUUUCCUCUGGAGUGGAAAUGAAUGGCACCGGGGUCCAUGUUGCCAGAACCUUGUCCUUGGGGACAAGGAAUGAGGACUUGUCACCUGAAGCAUAGGAUUCAUAGUAGGCGUGGGAAUGAAGCCUCUGCCUUUGUGGAAGUGACUAGUUCGCCCAAAUCCAAGGCGUUUUCCACAACCGAGAGGCCUGGGCUGAGGAUAGAGAUUUGAGCCUUACCUGACACAUCCUACUGGGAAGUUGCAUCAAUGGUCAGUGUCUGAGGCCAUGGAAAGUGUCACAUGACGGUGUGUCACAGGGUCCCACAUUUAGGACAUUUCUGAACUCAAAAAUAAUCUUUGAUGACCAUGACUCACAGAAACUUUUAAUAAUUACAACAGGUUUGGGAUCAGUUGAUGAUCACAGAUGGUUCAAGCCACCUACCUAAAUCCCUCUGGGGAGGGGUGGAGGCUCUGGACAGGGAGAUAUGAAGCUGGAGGCAUGGCUUAGUCUCCCUAGCCUGGGUGUGGCCAGGCAAAGCUGGGACAUCCUCAACCCAAAGUUUUGCUGGAUUUAAACUCCUUGUAGAUAUUCCUAACCAGUGGUGAUACGGAAGGGAUAGGAGGAGAAAAGGAUGGCUCUUCAUCAAGAGCAAAAGCAAGAGAUUCAGAUAGGGGAUUUCACUUGGCUUUUCUAGUCUUGGCCGGGGGGGACCCAUUAUGGUAUGAAGAGCUCUGGAAUCUUCUAGAGAAACAAGCAUGGGUGUCCUUUAACAGGUCCCUGAGAGCCAGUUACUGUGGAACAAUGGCUGUUACCAGAGCUUAUUGCAGACCUUGUAACCUGAAUCAUGUGUUGGCCCAGGCCGACCCAGGAAGGUGUCUUGGGAAGGAAAUUCCAGGCUGAGAGGAUUAUUGGCAACUGGCACCACCCCCAGCCUGGAGGAGGGACGUUUCUGGGAUGACCCCCAGAGUGGAGAAAUUGCCGAGUAACAAAAUGUGUCUAUCAUCUCCCAGAGUGUCAACUAAUCUGGUGGCUGGAAACAAACCAACCAACAAAGAAACAAAAGAAGGUCUGUCAAGAAGAGCUGACUUUUCAAGUGGUUCCUUAAAACAGAGGUGAUGGGUAGGUGGAGACAAAACCACCAAACACCCAGGCUGGACCUGUUUAUCUCUGGGCAGCAAUCUGUUCGAUUUCAUGACAAAACAAGGCUUGAAAUCAGGGUUUCCAUUUCACAAACUAAACAGGCACGUGUGCACACACACGUGCACACCAUGCAUGUCCCAGUGCACACACGCACAACCCAUUUCGUAGGGUCCCGGCAGAAUUCUCUCCGCAGGAAAAGCGCUCAUUCUUGCUGAUUUGUGGCUUUCUCUGAUUUGCCUCUGGUUGGGCCUCAUGAUGCAGGACCGGCGGAGGCGUCAGGUCAGAGCUGGAAUAUGUAAGCUCUUCCCAUCCCUUCUCCAUGCCCAGGGCUGAGCAGUGGUUAGAAGGGUAAGCGUGACACACCCAGAGACUCAUCCCCUCUACGGCAUUUUCUGUCUUGCCUCUUUCCACUGUGGACCUUUCUUCUUAGAGUAGCUUUUGAUCAGGCUCACAGUUGUCCACUUCUUAGGACUGGCCAUGUUUCACAAUUCCUCCAAUUGCCUUUCUUUUCCUGGAUGUUCUCAUUGACACCUGUAUUAGAGUUUUCCAGAGAAACAGGAUCAAUAGCACAUAUGGGGAUAUACAAAAAGCUAUUUAUGAUGAGGGAUUGGCUCAAAUAAUGGUGGGGACAGAGAAGUCCCACAAUCUGCCACCUGAGAUCUAGAGGCCCAGCAAAGCUGGUGAUGUGAUUCCAGUCCAAGCCCAAAGGCCUGAGAACCAGGACCACUGACAUGCAAGGACAGGAGAAGAUGGAUGUGUCAGGUCGAGCAGAGAGGAAACUCACCCUUCCUCUGCCUUUUUGUUCUAUUCAAACCCUUAGCAGAUUGCACGGUGCAAUUGCCCACACUGGUGAGGGCGAUCUUUGCUCAGCUUACUGAAUCAAUGCCAGUCUCUUCCAGAAGCACCUUCAAGAUAUGCUCAGUAGGAAAGUUUCCCCAGGUAUCUGGGCAUCCCUAAGCCCAGACACAUCAACUGAACCAUCAUAACACCUAAGACUUUAACUUCCAAUUGUAUGCUGGUGUUUAUGAAACGCUGACAGGCAGCUCAUCCCUCUCUGUUGAACCCUGCAUGGGUUCAAAGCCUGCUGGUCAGCUCUGUCCCAUUCUGCAGGCACCACAACCUCCAACCAUCCAAAUAAAGUAAGUGUCCUUGCUUGCUCUA